CUGUAGUUAACCUGGCCAGGUCUCGAUUGCCUUGCUUGCUGUGUAGCCAACGUUUCCUGCCCCUCGUGGUGUCCAGGGUAAGAACCGCUGCAGCGUAGCAGGUAAAAAACGCUGAGCAUCUUUGAUUCCAGCAGAAGCGAGGGGGAGGAAGCAUCUUGUAGGAAAAGCCCGGGCUUACUUCUCCAAAGCCAUCAGGCAGUCUUUGAUUAAAUCUCGUCCUCUUGACUGGAAGUCUUGUACCUGAGCUGCCUUCUCCCAGCAAAUGACACAGACUUUAACUGCUUCAUGUAAAAUAAGGAGGACUAAUUACUCUGAGGAUUUUACCUCUGUGUUUUCCAGUCCCUGUGCCUAAUACACCAUUCACUAAUGCUCUUUUUAAUUUUUUUUCCUGUAGAAGUGCACUGACCUCUUUCCAUCUGCCACCCUUGUCUUAUAAAUGCACCUAGCACAUAUAUCCACAAGGCACUGAGAGCUCUCCCCAUAACAGUGUUUUCUCUAGCAGGUUAUCAUAUUGCACCCUCCUCCAAGAUGCUUCCAUAGGGUUUGGGCAGCCACUUGAUUUGAAUUCAUUUUCCCACCGCUCCCUCUCCCCUGUUCCAAAUAAAGCACAUCAGAGGGCAAAUGUGGUACUGCUGGUAGAUGUGUAGCUACUGUUGUAUUGUGAGUUUUGU
Molecule: long non-coding RNA, 671 nt
Organism: Nothoprocta perdicaria
Lineage: Eukaryota; Metazoa; Chordata; Aves; Tinamiformes; Tinamidae
Exons: 2
Source: RefSeq, a predicted model, not a curated record